This is an RNA transcript of Cucumis melo (muskmelon), 2253 nucleotides long. It is a transcript of the gene named serine/threonine-protein kinase BSK1, with no coding region annotated. The record is from RefSeq and is a predicted model, not a curated record. NCBI's taxonomy places the organism in Eukaryota, Viridiplantae, Streptophyta, Magnoliopsida, Cucurbitales, Cucurbitaceae. The transcript has 10 exons.
CUCACUCAUCUCUUUGUAUUCCUUUUCUUGCAUACCUUCAAAAGUUGCUUCCCCAACUAAUAUUCUUCUCUUUCUUUCCCCCGUUCUCUCUAUGCUUCACUUUCCCCUUUCCUCUAUCUGAGUUUUCAAAAGGGUUGUCACAAUUUUUUUCUUAUGGGGUGUUGUGAAUCCACUUUUCUGACAGAAACCCAUCCCGAAAAGCUCCAAUCCCAGCAGCCUGCACCUCCGUAUGUUGCGGUGGAGCCUCCGCCGCCGCUGCCGCCUGCCGUUGGACCUGAACCGACGCAGCUCGGGGAAAUGGUUUCCACUUUCUCUGAGUUCUCCUUCUCCGACCUUAAGGCGGCUACCGACAAUUUCAACUCCAACUUCAUAGUCUCAGAGAGCGGCGAGAAGGCUCCCAACAUUGUGUACAAGGGUCGACUUCAUAACCGCAAGUGGAUCGCUGUUAAGAAGUUUACGAAGGUGGCUUGGCCGGAUGCCAAACAAUUUGUGGAAGAGGCUUCGGGAGUUGGGAAGCUACGGCAUCCAAGGUUUGCGAAUUUGAUUGGGUAUUGCUGCGAUGGUGAUGAGAGGCUGCUUGUUGCGGAGUACAUGCCUAAUGAUACUCUUGCAAAGCAUUUAUUCCACUGGGAAAAUCAAACCAUUGAGUGGGCCAUGCGGUUGAGAGUUGCUUACUACAUUGCUGAAGCCUUGGAAUAUUGUACCACGAAAGGUCGUGCAUUGUACCAUGACUUGAAUGCAUAUAGAGUUCUUUUUGAUGAGGGUGGCGAUCCACGUCUUUCAUGUUUUGGGUUGAUGAAAAACAGUCGGGAUGGUAAGAGUUACAGCACAAAUCUGGCCUACACACCACCUGAGUAUUUGAAAAAUGGAAGGGUAACCCCUGAAAGUGUUAUUUAUAGCUUUGGUACUGUCCUCUUGGAUCUUCUGAGUGGCAAGCACAUCCCUCCAAGUCAUCGAGUGCAGGCUCUUGAUCUGAUUCGAGGAAAGAAUAUCAUUCUCUUAAUGGAUUCGCAUUUGGAAGGAAAAUUUUCUACAGAAGACGCAACUGUGGUUGUUAAUCUUGCUUCUCAAUGUUUACAAUAUGAACCUAGGGACAGGCCUAACACAGAGGAACUUGUUUCAACUCUUGCUCCAUUGCAAACAAAAGUAGAUGUUCCCUCCUAUGUUAUGCUUGGAAUGAAGAAGCAGGAGGAUGCCCCAGCAGCCCCUGUAGCCCCUGUAGCUCCAGCAGCCCCUGUAGCUCCACAACGCCCUUUAUCGUCGAUGGGUGAGGCCUGUUCGAGGAUGGAUCUCACUGCAAUUCAUCAAAUCUUGGUUAUGACACACUACAGAGAUGAUGAAGGAACUAAUGAGCUAUCUUUUCAAGAGUGGACACAACAGAUGAGAGAUAUGCUGGAAGCAAGAAAGCGUGGGGAUUUUGCCUUUCGGGACAAAAAUUUUAAAGCUGCAAUCGACUGCUAUUCACAGUUCAUAGAUGUAGGAACUAUGGUUUCCCCAACCGUGUUUGCUCGACGAAGCCUAUGCCAUUUGUUGUGUGAUCAACCCGAUGCAGCACUUCGGGAUGCAAUGCAAGCACAAUGCGUACACCCAGACUGGCCCACAGCCUUCUACAUGCAAUCGGUUGCCCUUGCAAAGCUGGAUAUGCAGAAAGACGCAAUUGACAUGUUGAACGAAGCAGCUGCGUUAGAAGAGAAGAGGCAACGAGGUGGACGAUGAUCACUAAAAUGAACCUACUCAACAUUGCUGUAAUUACAAGCAUACUGGUGUUGUUUGUUGCUGAGGCUACCACAAUUUGUAUAAAGUGUGAGCUGAUUUCAAUGUUGGGCCAAAUCACCAGUACAGGAGAGAGGCUAGGAAAAUGGGUUCAGUUAUCAGUAGUAGAUUUGAUUUUUAGGAGUCUGCUAACAAAAGGGCUCCUUGUCCUCCCCUUUCUCAGCAAAACAAGACAUGACAGCCAGAAUCAAGGACAUAACCAUUAUUACUCUUCCAUUUCCUUUUCCCCCCUUUUCUUUUUCAUUUGAUAUUUUAUCCCAAAUAUGUGUCCGUACUAUCUAAAGGAUCUAGGACUUUUGGUCGUGAGUAUAAUAAAUUAAUAGUAAUAUGAAAAGUGUAUUCUAUUUUAUUACCUUUGUAGUUGUUUAAUUCUAUUCCUAAUUGUUAUGAGAUUCAUUUCUAAGUCUGUAACCAAAACCAAAGAACGUAGUUCGGUUGGGAAAUGAAGGGUGAUAAAAUCUAAUUAUAUUUUCGAGAUUA